RNAcentral lists this ribosomal RNA (253 nucleotides) under uncultured bacterium. RNAcentral describes it as "partial 16S ribosomal RNA". It matches the Rfam family "Bacterial small subunit ribosomal RNA", at positions 524 to 776 of the family's 1533-position model. The record is from RNAcentral.
UACGUAGGGGGCAAGCGUUGUCCGGAUUUAUUGGGCGUAAAGAGCGUGUAGGCGGCCAAGCAGGUCCGCUGUGAAAACUCGAGGCUCAACCUCGAGACGUCGGUGGAAACCGUUUGGCUAGAGUCCGGAAGAGGAGAGUGGAAUUCCUGGUGUAGCGGUGAAAUGCGCAGAUAUCAGGAGGAACACCCGUGGCGAAAGCGGCUCUCUGGGACGGUACUGACGCUGAGACGCGAAAGCGUGGGGAGCGAACAGG